This 88-nucleotide small nucleolar RNA is filed under the name Solanum tuberosum (potato). RNAcentral's name for it is "small nucleolar RNA snoR114". It matches the Rfam family "small nucleolar RNA snoR114". Lineage: Eukaryota; Viridiplantae; Streptophyta; Magnoliopsida; Solanales; Solanaceae. The record is from Rfam by way of RNAcentral.
GAGCAAUGAUGUUACAUUUGCACUAAAUUGUGAACGAUGGGUCGUCACAUUCAUCUAAUUAAUGAUGACAAAUAGUGCAUUUGAGCUC